This 495-nucleotide ribosomal RNA is filed under the name uncultured bacterium. RNAcentral describes it as "partial 16S ribosomal RNA". It matches the Rfam family "Bacterial small subunit ribosomal RNA", at positions 29 to 523 of the family's 1533-position model. The record is from RNAcentral.
AUUGAACGCUGGCUGCAUGCCUUACACAUGCAAGUCGAACGGUAACAGGUCAAGCUGACGAGUGGCGAACGGGAGAGUAAUAUAUCGGAACGUGCCCAGUCGUGGGGGAUAACGUAGCGAAAGCUGCGCUAAUACCGCAUACGAUCCCUGGAUGAAAGCGGGGGACGCCCAAGAGCCUCGCCCGAUUGGAGCGGCCGAUGUCAGAUUCGGUAGUUGGGGGGGUAAAAGCCUACGAAGCCGACAAUCUGUAGCGGGUCUGAGAGGACGACCAGCGACACUGGGACUGAGACACGGCCCAGACUCCUACGGGAGGCAGCAGUGGGGAAUUUUGGACGAUGGGCGAAAGCCUGAUCCAGCCAUGCCGCGUGCAGGACGAAGGCCUUCGGGUUGUAAACUGCUUUUGUACGGAACGAAACGGCUCUCUCAAAUACGGGGGGCUAAUGACGGUACCGUAAGAGUAAGCACCGGCUAACUACGUGCCAGCAGCCGCCGUAA